RNAcentral lists this ribosomal RNA (460 nucleotides) under uncultured bacterium. RNAcentral describes it as "partial 16S ribosomal RNA". It matches the Rfam family "Bacterial small subunit ribosomal RNA", at positions 338 to 795 of the family's 1533-position model. The record is from RNAcentral.
CCUACGGGAGGCUGCAGUGGGGAAUAUUGGGCAAUGGGCGUAAGCCUGAACCAGCCAAGUCGCGUGAGGGAUGAAGGUUCUAUGGAUCGUAAACCUCGUUUAUAAGGGAAUAAAGUGCGGGACGUGUCCCGUUUUGUAUGUACGUUAUGACUAAGGAUCGACUAACUCCGUGCCAGCAGCCGCGGUAAUACGGAGGAUCCGAGCGUUAUCCGGUUUUAUUGGGUUUGAAGGGUGCGUAGGCGGCCUCUUAAGUCAGCGGUGAAAGUAUGUGGCUCAACCAUAGAAUUGCCGUUGAAACUGGGAGGCUUGAGUAUGUUUGAGGCAGGCGGAAUGCGAGGUGUAGCGGUGAAAUGCGUAGAUAUCACGCAGAACCCCGAUUGCGAAGGCAGCCUGCCAAGCCAUGACUGACGCUGAUGCGCGAAAGCGUGGGGAUCAAACAGGAUUAGAUACCCGGGUAGUC